ACGGGAGGCAGCAGUGGGGAAUUUUGCGCAAUGAGGGAAACCUUGACGCAGCAACGCCGCGUGCGGGAUGAAGGCCUUCGGGUUGUAAACCGCUUUCAGCAGGAACGAUUAUGACGGUACCUGCAGAAGAAGCUCCGGCUAACUACGUGCCAGCAGCCGCGGUAAUACGUAGGGAGCAAGCGUUAUCCGGAUUCAUUGGGCGUAAAGCGCGCGUAGGCGGUUGCUUAAGCGGGACCUCUAAUCUUGGGGCUUAACUCCAAGCCGGGUUCCGAACUGGGCAACUUGAAUGCGGUAGAGGUAGAUGGAAUUCCAUGUGUAGCGGUGAAAUGCGCAGAUAUAUGGAAGAACACCAAUGGCGAAGGCAGUCUACUGGGCCGAUAUUGACGCUGAGGCGCGAAAGCCGGGGGAGCAAACAGGAUUAGAUACCCUGGUA
Molecule: ribosomal RNA, 433 nt
Filed under: uncultured Coriobacteriaceae bacterium
Lineage: Bacteria; Bacillati; Actinomycetota; Coriobacteriia; Coriobacteriales; Coriobacteriaceae
Description: partial 16S ribosomal RNA
Rfam family: Bacterial small subunit ribosomal RNA
Source: RNAcentral